UUGCUAGGGCCGGGAGCAAAAGUGUAGCCAUUGGUUGGAGGCCCUAGCAGGAUUCGACGUUCCCUCUUCAGAGAAGUGCGUGGGAGCGAAGAAAUGGCGCUGUGAGGGUUUCACAUCUGAAAUCUCUGAUCUGUGAAACAAACCCUGGAAAUAGACUUUGAGAUGAUCCUACUGGACACAUUUGUCAAACAGAUGAAGAACUAGGGGCCGUUACAGAUCAUGUAAAAGACUGUUCAAAUUUAAGAUUUGAGUUUUACUUGGCUGGUUUGAUUUUAUAUUUCCAUCUCUUUUUACUUAGGCUGAAAAUCUUGGUUCCAAUGAUAAUAACAUAACAAUCAGUACUUAGAGCUCUAUGUUACUUUC
Zalophus californianus (California sea lion) is the source of this 363-nucleotide long non-coding RNA. RefSeq lists it as uncharacterized. The transcript is spliced from 3 exons. The record is from RefSeq and is a predicted model, not a curated record. Lineage: Eukaryota; Metazoa; Chordata; Mammalia; Carnivora; Otariidae.